RNAcentral lists this ribosomal RNA (253 nucleotides) under uncultured bacterium. RNAcentral's name for it is "partial 16S ribosomal RNA". It matches the Rfam family "Bacterial small subunit ribosomal RNA", at positions 524 to 776 of the family's 1533-position model. The record is from RNAcentral.
GACGAACCGUGCGAACGUUAUUCGGAUUCACUGGGCUUAAAGGGCGCGUAGGCGGACGAGCAAGUCCGGGGUGAAAUCUUUCGGCUUAACCGGAAAAGUGCCUGGGAAACUGCUCGUCUUGAGGGAGGUAGGGGCCUGUGGAACUUCCGGUGGAGCGGUGAAAUGCGUUGAUAUCGGAAGGAACGCCGGUGGCGAAAGCGACGGGCUGGCCCUCCACUGACGCUGAGGUGCGAAAGCGUGGGGAGCAAACAGG